Molecule: non-coding RNA, 136 nt
Filed under: Akkermansia sp.
Lineage: Bacteria; Pseudomonadati; Verrucomicrobiota; Verrucomicrobiia; Verrucomicrobiales; Akkermansiaceae
Source: RNAcentral
AGGGCUACAGACCUCAGGGACGCCCGUAGCCGGGCAGGAAAUAGAUGGGGAAUACCGGUGCAAAUCCGGAGCGGUACCGCCACUGUAAGCAGGAUAUCCUGCAAGCCAGAAAACCAGCCUCAGGGGGUUGUCCAAA